ACGGGAGGCAGCAGUGGGGAAUAUUGGACAAUGGGGGAAACCCUGAUCCAGCGACGCCGCGUGAGUGAAGAAGUAUUUCGGUAUGUAAAGCUUUUUAAGCAGGAAAGAAAAUGACGGUACCUGCAGAAUAAGCCCCGGCUAACUACGUGCCAGCAGCCGCGGUAAUACGUAGGGGGCAAGCGUUAUCCGGAUUUACUGGGUGUAAAGGGAGCGUAGACGGCAAUGCAAGUCUGAAGUGAAAGCCCGCGGCUUAACUACGGGACUGCUUUGGAAACUGCAUGGCUAGAGUGUCGGAGAGGUGAGUGGAAUUCCCAGUGUAGCGGUGAAAUGCGUAGAUAUUGGGAGGAACACCAGAGGCGAAGGCGAGUAACUGGACCGCGACUGACACUGAGGCACGAGAGCGUGGGGAGCAAACAGGAUUAGAUACCCUGGUA
Molecule: ribosomal RNA, 434 nt
Filed under: uncultured Lachnospiraceae bacterium
Lineage: Bacteria; Bacillati; Bacillota; Clostridia; Lachnospirales; Lachnospiraceae
Description: partial 16S ribosomal RNA
Rfam family: Bacterial small subunit ribosomal RNA
Source: RNAcentral